GACGAACGCUGGCGGCGUGCUUAACACAUGCAAGUCGAACGGAAAGGCCCUGCUUGCAGGGUACUCGAGUGGCGAACGGGUGAGUAACACGUGGGUGAUCUGCCCUGCACUUCGGGAUAAGCCUGGGAAACUGGGUCUAAUACCGGAUAGGAGCCAUUUUUAGUGUGAUGGUUGGAAAGUUUUUUCGGUUUUGGAUGAGCUUGCGGCCUAUCAGCUUGUUGGGGGGGUAAUGGCCUACCAAGGCGGCGGCGGGUAGCCGGCCUGAGAGGGUGGACGGCGACAUUGGGACUGAGAGACGGCCCAGACUCCGACGGGAGGCAGCAGGGGGGAAUAUUGCACAAUGGGCGCAAGCCUGAUGCAGCGACGCCGCGUGGGGGAUGACGGCCUUCGGGUUGAAAACUCCUUUCGCAAGGGACGAAGCUUUUUGUGACGGUACCUAGACAAGAAGCACCGGCUAACUACGUG
This 465-nucleotide ribosomal RNA is filed under the name uncultured bacterium. RNAcentral's name for it is "partial 16S ribosomal RNA". It matches the Rfam family "Bacterial small subunit ribosomal RNA", at positions 28 to 507 of the family's 1533-position model. The record is from RNAcentral.